GCGUAACAAGGUCUCCGUUGGUGAACCAGCGGAGGGAUCAUUA
RNAcentral lists this ribosomal RNA (43 nucleotides) under Magnaporthiopsis incrustans. RNAcentral's name for it is "partial 18S ribosomal RNA". The record is from RNAcentral. Lineage: Eukaryota; Fungi; Ascomycota; Sordariomycetes; Magnaporthales; Magnaporthaceae. RNAcentral also lists the same sequence under 2 other names.